RNAcentral lists this ribosomal RNA (484 nucleotides) under uncultured bacterium. RNAcentral describes it as "partial 16S ribosomal RNA". It matches the Rfam family "Bacterial small subunit ribosomal RNA", at positions 30 to 507 of the family's 1533-position model. The record is from RNAcentral.
AUUGAACGCUGGCGGCAGGCCUAACACAUGCAAGUCGAGCGGAUGAAGGGAGCUUGCUCCUGGAUUCAGCGGCGGACGGGUGAGUAAUGCCUAGGAAUCUGCCUGGUAGUGGGGGAUAACGUCCGGAAACGGGCGCUAAUACCGCAUACGUCCUGAGGGAGAAAGUGGGGGAUCUUCGGACCUCACGCUAUCAGAUGAGCCUAGGUCGGAUUAGCUAGUUGGUGGGGUAAAGGCCUACCAAGGCGACGAUCCGUAACUGGUCUGAGAGGAUGAUCAGUCACACUGGAACUGAGACACGUUCCAGACUCCUACGGGAGGCAGCAGUGGGGAAUAUUGCACAAUGGGCGAAAGCCUGAUCCAGCCAUGCCGCGUGUGUGAAGAAGGUCUUCGGAUUGUAAAGCACUUUAAGUUGGGAGGAAGGGCAGUAAGUUAAUACCUUGCUAUUUUGACGUUACCAACAGAAUAAGCACCGGCUAACUUCGUG